Non-coding RNA from Pelodiscus sinensis (Chinese soft-shelled turtle), 1050 nucleotides. The record is from RefSeq and is a predicted model, not a curated record. NCBI's taxonomy places the organism in Eukaryota, Metazoa, Chordata, Testudines, Trionychidae.
UCUACCAUCUCAUGAUCACUGCUUCCCAGAUUGCCACCCACAUCUACUUCCCCUACUAGUUCCUCCCCGAGUAUGAGCAGCAAACAGGGCAGCAACCAACAGGGAGUUUGCCUGGGAAACGUGUGAGAGGAGCUGAGGAUCUCCAGCAGCACAUCAUCUUGUAAGGUGCAGCAUCCUGGAAAAGCCUCUGUAGAAGUACAGCACAAAACAGUCACUUUGGCUUCUUCUUCAAAAACAAGACGAGCUGAUUAAAAUGGAGAGAGACCACUACAGUGCCUGAAGUUUGAAGUUGAGACAAGUGACAUAUGCUGCACUUCUUCAGGACAACAGAAGCAGCAUUGGUUCUUCACAGAGAAGGAGUUUGGAUCAACAUUAUUCUCUGCAAAGGUCAUCAGGCAUAGAGCCUUUCUGGAGCUUUCUGUGAGUGUACCCUGACUGGCUCAUGCGAAGACUUUCAUCUUAUAUCCAUUUGGUUGGGCAUCCUUUGAUCACAGUUUUGGUAUCUUCUCACAGUCAGCACUGAUGGACUGAAACCCCAUGUUUAGUCACAGAAGGGCCAGACCAGCUGUCACAGAGGGGUGAUCCAUACCAGCUGAGGCAACCAUCCAACCCAGGAGAUCCAAAAGCCCUUGAGGGUCCAUAAGGACCUCAUGAGGCAGCUGUCCUGCGUGACAUGCAGUAGACCCUGGUGCAAAAGGUCCAGGAGGACACUGAGUGGCAGACCCACGUGGGACCCACUCAUGCAGCAGGGUAACAACAUGUGUGCCAUCAUGCGUGAAAUGAUGGCACACCCAGCUGCUGUCCUUGCUUCUGCCUCCCACCCUUCUGCCUGCCCCCGCUAUGCCCAUUCCCCUGCCCCCGCUAUGCCCAUUCCCCUGCCCCCAAGUGAUGCCUCUGCUCCCUCCCCAAGUGAUGCCUAUGCCCCCAUCCCCUGCUAUGACUAUGCCCUCUGCCAUCCCUGACCCCAUUCCAGCCCUCCCCCCCGCCCACUCCCCUGUGGUCCCAGGACCCACCCAACCCCAAGUUCACAGAGGUCGCCUGCAACUUCCA